AUGAUUCUAAUUUGACUAGAUUGGAUUUCAUUACUCUAAUAGGAUUGGACUUGAUUUACGGUGAAAUCCAAACCUAUUUGGACUCCAAAUUUGAUUUGGAUUUGAACCCAAACCACUUUGGACUUUAUCUAAUAAGAGGUCCACAUGUAGAAGGACUCUUCCCUAAAUUUGUGGCACUACUUAUUAGCUUUGGCAUUGAGAAAAAAUAGAG
This 211-nucleotide long non-coding RNA is filed under the name Elaeis guineensis (African oil palm). RNAcentral's name for it is "long non-coding RNA (EGUI_LNC060598)". Lineage: Eukaryota; Viridiplantae; Streptophyta; Magnoliopsida; Arecales; Arecaceae. The record is from RNAcentral.